AGCGGCGGACGGGUGAGUACGCGUGGGUAACCUGCCCUAUACACACGGAUAACAUACCGAAAGGUAUGCUAAUACGAGAUAAUAUAAGAGAUUCACAUGGAUUUCUUAUCAAAGCUGAGGCGGUAUAGGAUGGACCCGCGUCUGAUUAGCUAGUUGGUAAGGUAACGGCUUACCAAGGCGACGAUCAGUAGCCGACCUGAGAGGGUGAUCGGCCACAUUGGAACUGAGACACGGUCCAAACUCCUACGGGAGGCAGCAGUGGGGAAUAUUGCACAAUGGGCGAAAGCCUGAUGCAGCAACGCCGCGUGAGUGAUGAAGGCCUUCGGGUCGUAAAACUCUGUCCUCAAGGAAGAUAAUGACGGUACUUGAGGAGGAAGCCCCGGCUAACUACGUGCCAGCAGCCGCGGUAAUACGUAGGGGGCUAGCGUUAUCCGGAUUUACUGGGCGUAAAGGGUGCGUAGGUGGUCUCUUAAGUCAGGAGUGAAAGGCUACGGCUUAACCGCAGUAAGCUCUUGAAACUGGGAGACUUGAGUGCAGGAGAGGAAAGUGGAAUUCCUAGUGUAGCGGUGAAAUGCGUAGAUAUUAGGAGGAACACCAGUAGCGAAGGCGGCUUUCUGGACUGUAACUGACACUGAGGCACGAAAGCGUGGGGAGCAAACAGGAUUAGAUACCCUGGUAGUCCACGCCGUAAACGAUGAGUACUAGGUGU
This 709-nucleotide ribosomal RNA is filed under the name uncultured bacterium. RNAcentral's name for it is "bacterial SSU rRNA". It matches the Rfam family "Bacterial small subunit ribosomal RNA", at positions 94 to 823 of the family's 1533-position model. The record is from RNAcentral.